Molecule: long non-coding RNA, 484 nt
Organism: Hyla sarda
Lineage: Eukaryota; Metazoa; Chordata; Amphibia; Anura; Hylidae
Exons: 3
Source: RefSeq, a predicted model, not a curated record
CGAGGCGGGACAUCGCUGUGGCCGGUGAUAGGCUGGAGGCUCUGUGACGUUCCAUCCCCAGGACCACAGCAAGAACAGCGGAGGGACCAUGAGGCCGGUUCCUUAGCAAUGCGGGAACGGAGGACGAAGGCUAUGUUUAAGAGACUGCGAAGAGACCAAUGGAGUGCACAAUUGCAUUCUUUAACAUUAAAUGGAUGUCACCUUUUUGGAUAGUUGUGGAUGAAUGAAAAGAGAAAUCAAGCCUCAACCACUUAAAGUAUAAGCUAAUUCAACCAUAUCGGUGCUGGAAUCAAAUCAUCUGCAAAAAAGCCCCAUGUUAUGCCAUCAGGUUUCCCUUCCAGAAAAAAAAAAGAUGAUUUAGAAUAUUUGAUUCCUUGUUAAUAAUUGUGAAAUUACCCGACUGAUUUGACUCCAGCCAUUAUCCCGGUUAGAUCAGGCUGAAUUAGAUUAAAGUUUUGAGAACCAGCUGGAGUACAAAUGAUCU